GGAAAAUUCAUCGAAAUCGACAAAUUGUGUUCUGCUGACUUGCCAUUAGAAACCAAAAUGAAGAUGCUGAACUUUAUGAAAAGAUACGGUAAAACUCCAUUUGGAGUAAGCAUCGGCGGAUUCUUUUAUGUUAAGAAAAACUUCUUCAUUCGAAUGGUGAGUGCCUUAUAUUCAUCGCUGUCUGUAUUGACGGAGCUUUUAAUUAAGAAGAAACCAUCUACUUGUAAAGUCAAGAUUAGAGAUUUGAUUCAAUGAAGCUAUUGAAUUAAAUUAUCUCACAGGCUGACUUGAAUAUUUGAAUAAUAGUAGAUUUACUACGAGGAAAUAAGGUAUUCCUGUGUUAAAAAAAGAAGUCGAUUGUAGACUAAUCGGAAAAAUUGAAAUCUCAAAUUCUGAAAGAAAAUACUCCUUACAAAAUUUGAAGAGUCGAAAUCUACAUUCGUUCGACAAUAAAU
Molecule: long non-coding RNA, 455 nt
Organism: Centruroides sculpturatus (bark scorpion)
Lineage: Eukaryota; Metazoa; Arthropoda; Arachnida; Scorpiones; Buthidae
Exons: 3
Source: RefSeq, a predicted model, not a curated record